CUACGGGAGGCAGCAGUUGGGAAUUUUGGACAAUGGGGGAAACCCUGAUCCAGCGACACCGCGUGGGCGAUGAAGGCCCUUUGGGUUGUAAAGCCCUGUCGUGAGUGAAGAAAUCCGCACCUGUAAAUAAUGGGAGCGGGUAGACGAUAGCUCAGGAGGAAGCCACGGCUAACUCUGUGCCAGCAGCCGCGGUAAGACAGAGGUGGCGAGCGUUGUCCGGAUUUACUGGGCGUAAAGGGCGUGUAGGCGGUCGCGUAAGUCAGUUGUGAAAUCCGUCGGCUCAACCGAAGAAUUGCUUCUGAUACUGCGUGACUUGAGUAUGGGAGAGGAAAGUAGAAUUCCCGGUGUAGCAGUGAAAUGCGUAGAUAUCGGGAAGAAUACCAAUGGCGAAGGCGACUUUCUGGCCCGUAACUGACGCUGAGGCGCGAAAGCCAGGGGAGCAAACGGGAUUAGAUACCCCGGUAGC
RNAcentral lists this ribosomal RNA (466 nucleotides) under uncultured bacterium. Its description in RNAcentral is "bacterial SSU rRNA". It matches the Rfam family "Bacterial small subunit ribosomal RNA", at positions 339 to 794 of the family's 1533-position model. The record is from RNAcentral.